AGCAUAACAAAUAACAAAUUGUAUAUAAACAAAAACAACUAAUUAAAUCGUGUAUUAUUAAUUAAUUAAGUAAAAUUAAAGUCUAAUGUAAUAAAUAAUUAAAUGAAAUAUGUCUAAACUAUUAGAUAAUUUACCGGAGCUCGUUUCGUUUGUAGAAGUUACUGGAUUAAAAAUAUCACCAGCAGUUAUAAAAAUCAUUUGUGAGUUAUUGGACUUGCGGGUUGCUCCAGAAGACAUUUACAAAAUUCUAAGAGAUUUAUCUGUGCCUCGAAAGACCGACGAGGCUGGAAGUUCGACUGUGUGAUGAAUAUUAAUUAAAUAAUUAAAACAAGAUAUUAAGAGUAAACAUAAAUUUUAUUUUGGAGAUGGUUAAAGGUGGUGAGUUGACGUUAAUUGUUUCGAAUUUGGAAUCAUCCAUGUCAAGAUUAUAAGUAAGCAAGCGGCCAAGUACAUCACGAAUUUUUCUAGCAGGAGUUUUUUCUGGACACUCAGGCUGAAAACAAUUAAGCUAUUAAUUUUCAUGUACAGCACUUGAUCUAAAAAAUAUAAAAAAUUAACGGAAAAUUUA
This is a long non-coding RNA of Cotesia glomerata, 568 nucleotides long. RefSeq lists it as uncharacterized. Lineage: Eukaryota; Metazoa; Arthropoda; Insecta; Hymenoptera; Braconidae. The transcript is spliced from 3 exons. The record is from RefSeq and is a predicted model, not a curated record.